This 311-nucleotide ribosomal RNA is filed under the name uncultured soil bacterium. RNAcentral's name for it is "bacterial SSU rRNA". It matches the Rfam family "Bacterial small subunit ribosomal RNA", at positions 26 to 351 of the family's 1533-position model. The record is from RNAcentral.
AGAACGAACGCUGGCGGCAUGCUUAACACAUGCAAGUCGAACGAGACCGCUGACUUCGGUUGGCGUGUCUAGUGGCGCACGGGUGCGUAACGCGUGGGAAUCUGCCCUUAGGUACGGAAUAACUCAGAGAAAUUUGUGCUAAUACCGUAUGAUGUCGCAAGACCAAAGAUUUAUCGCCUAAGGAUGAGCCCGCGUAAGAUUAGCUUGUUGGUGAGGUAAAAGCUCACCAAGGCGACGAUCUUUAGCUGGUCUGAGAGGAUGAUCAGCCACACUGGGACUGAGACACGGCCCAGACUCCGUACGGGAGGCAG